RNAcentral lists this ribosomal RNA (253 nucleotides) under uncultured bacterium. Its description in RNAcentral is "partial 16S ribosomal RNA". It matches the Rfam family "Bacterial small subunit ribosomal RNA", at positions 524 to 776 of the family's 1533-position model. The record is from RNAcentral.
UACGUAGGGGGCAAGCGUUGUCCGGAUUUAUUGGGCGUAAAGAGCGUGUAGGCGGUUAUGCAGGUCCGCUGUGAAAACUGGAGGCUUAACCUCCAGACGUCGGUGGAAACCGUAUGACUAGAGUCCGGAAGAGGAGAGUGGAAUUCCUGGUGUAGCGGUGAAAUGCGCAGAUAUCAGGAAGAACACCAAUUGCGAAGGCAGCUCGCUGGGACGCUACUGACGCUGAGACGCGAAAGCGUGGGGAGCAAACAGG